GCCUGUGUAGUGCCUCCCCGUCUCCUCCUCAUGGCCCCUCUGUGCUGCCCCAUCUCAGAGACCAGGGUUUGGAGUCAGGGUGGGGAAUGGAGCCAAGGCCAUGGUCAGGGAGCGGCCAUGCCCAAGUCAUGCUGUGGCUGUCAGUUUCCACGAGAGUGCCCUCAGGACGGAGCUGCCUCCACUUGGCUGAACAUGCUGUGUGCUCAGGACAUGACGACAAGGGCAACACCCCCAGAACAUUCUAGCAAACGGAGCCCCCCCGUGGGGGAAUGAGGCCGAUUUCCCGUGGUCAGUGGGUGUGCAGCCCUCCUGGGCGGCCACGUUCCGGCGGACAGCCCGUGCUUGGCUGUAGAAGUUGUCACGUCAUCUGCCCCACAUCCUCCUCCUGGGCCUGCACCGCCUCGACUGUGAUGGGGGCCCCGCCACCCUGAUCCUCACACACGGAAGACCGUGCUGCACUGUCCUCUGGAUGAAACCACCCAAGGCAGGUGGGACCAAGGCGAUGGAGACGGAAGCCCCGCCCCGCGCCUACACGGCCUGACCUCUGAACUGAGAAUGAGGGCAGUGAGGACCCCUGUCCUGCUCUCCCUCCUCCCUCCCAGGCCUCCCUCCUGGGCCACUCCUUUUAGAAGAUGCAGGGAGGCAGGAGCGAGGCCAGGGCAGAAGCUCUUGGGCCACCAGCCACCGUGCCUGGCCAAGCUCUCUGGUCAGCCUCACACAGCGAUGGAGGCCGCAGAAGGUAAGGGGCUGGCCCCAGGCCCCACAGCUGGGAUUGUACCUGGAGCGAGCCAGACUGUGCAGGGCCCUGGGCCAGUUGGCACCUGCAUCCACCCCUGCCAGCCCACCUGUCCUGGGCUCCUCCGCUGACCCCAGAGGCCCUGAGAAUGGCCAUCGCCUGGGCCUGGAGGAGCAGCAG
Molecule: long non-coding RNA, 916 nt
Organism: Equus quagga
Lineage: Eukaryota; Metazoa; Chordata; Mammalia; Perissodactyla; Equidae
Exons: 2
Source: RefSeq, a predicted model, not a curated record